GUCAGUAACCCAGCCCUAAAGGGACUGGGCUUGCAAGAGUAAUCAAGCAAGCCGUACUGACCAGACCACCCUGAGUUUACUCUCAUGGUAGCCGUUAUUUGAGUCACGACACCCUGGAAUGCGUAGCUAGUUCCCUGCUCUGUCGCUGGCAAUUAAACAGUUUUAAGGUCACUGAAACAGUGUUGCCAGCCUAACAAGCUCUUAUAACAGGUCGAAGCUAACAUUAC
This is a non-coding RNA of Anabaena sp. 90, 227 nucleotides long. It matches the Rfam family "HNH endonuclease-associated RNA and ORF (HEARO) RNA". The record is from Rfam. NCBI's taxonomy places the organism in Bacteria, Bacillati, Cyanobacteriota, Cyanophyceae, Nostocales, Nostocaceae.